GAUGAAGAACGUAGCGAAAUGCGAUAAGUAAUGUGAAUUGCAGAAUUCCGUGAAUCAUCGAAUCUUUGAACGCACAUUGCGCCCCCUGGCAUUCCGGGGGGCAUGCCUGUCCGAGCGUCAUUUCUGCCCUCAAGCACGGCUUGUGUGUUGGGUGUGGUCCCCCCGGGGACCUGCCCGAAAGGCAGCGGCGACGUCCGUCUGGUCCUCGAGCGUAUGGGGCUCUGUCACUCGCUCGGGAAGGACCUGCGGGGGUUGGUCACCACUAUAUUUUACCACGGUUGACCUCGGAUCAGGUAGGAGUUACCCGCUGAACUUAAGCAUAUCAAUAAGCGGAGG
This 336-nucleotide unclassified non-coding RNA is filed under the name soil metagenome. RNAcentral describes it as "partial contains 5.8S ribosomal RNA, internal transcribed spacer 2, and large subunit ribosomal RNA". The stretch from base 1 to 120 matches the Rfam family "5.8S ribosomal RNA", at positions 35 to 154 of the family's 154-position model. The record is from RNAcentral.